UACAGGGGGUGCAAACGUUGCUCGGAAUCAUUGGGCGUAAAGCGCACGUAGGCGGUUCGUUAUGUCGGAUGUGAAAGCCCUUGGCUUAACCGAGGAAGUGCAUCCGAAACUGGCGAGCUAGAGUACGAAAGAGGAUCGCGGAAUUCCCGGUGUAGAGGUGAAAUUCGUAGAUAUUCGCAAGAACACCAGCGGCGAAGGCGGCUUACUGGUCCGGAACUGACGCUGAGGUGCGAAAGCGUGGGGAGCAAACAGG
This 253-nucleotide ribosomal RNA is filed under the name uncultured bacterium. RNAcentral's name for it is "partial 16S ribosomal RNA". It matches the Rfam family "Bacterial small subunit ribosomal RNA", at positions 524 to 776 of the family's 1533-position model. The record is from RNAcentral.